GUGCUGGCUUCAGCAGCACAUAUACUAAAAUCGGAACAAUAUGGAGAAGAUUAGCAUGGCCCCUGUGCAAGGAGGGCAUGCAAAUUCAUGAAGUGUUCCAUUAAAAA
RNAcentral lists this small nuclear RNA (107 nucleotides) under Castor canadensis (American beaver). Lineage: Eukaryota; Metazoa; Chordata; Mammalia; Rodentia; Castoridae. The record is from RNAcentral.